RNAcentral lists this ribosomal RNA (697 nucleotides) under Pseudomonas sp. RNAcentral describes it as "bacterial SSU rRNA". It matches the Rfam family "Bacterial small subunit ribosomal RNA", at positions 31 to 723 of the family's 1533-position model. The record is from RNAcentral. Lineage: Bacteria; Pseudomonadati; Pseudomonadota; Gammaproteobacteria; Pseudomonadales; Pseudomonadaceae.
GAACGCUGGCGGCAGGCCUAACACAUGCAAGUCGAGCGGAUGAGGGUAGCUUGCUACCUGAUUCAGCGGCGGACGGGUGAGUAAUGCCUAGGAAUCUGCCCGAUAGUGGGGGAUAACGUUCCGAAAGGAACGCUAAUACCGCAUACGUCCUACGGGAGAAAGCGGGGGAUCUUCGGACCUCGCGCUAUCGGAUGAGCCUAGGUCGGAUUAGCUAGUUGGUGAGGUAAAGGCUCACCAAGGCGACGAUCCGUAGCUGGUCUGAGAGGAUGAUCAGCCACACUGGAACUGAGACACGGUCCAGACUCCUACGGGAGGCAGCAGUGGGGAAUAUUGGACAAUGGGCGAAAGCCUGAUCCAGCCAUGCCGCGUGUGUGAAGAAGGUCUUCGGAUUGUAAAGCACUUUAAGUUGGGAGGAAGGGUUGUAACCUAAUACGUUGCAACUUUGACGUUACCGACAGAAUAAGCACCGGCUAACUUCGUGCCAGCAGCCGCGGUAAUACGAAGGGUGCAAGCGUUAAUCGGAAUUACUGGGCGUAAAGCGCGCGUAGGUGGUUUGAUAAGUUGGAUGUGAAAGCCCCGGGCUCAACCUGGGAAUUGCAUCCAAAACUGUCUGACUAGAGUACGGUAGAGGGUAGUGGAAUUUCCUGUGUAGCGGUGAAAUGCGUAGAUAUAGGAAGGAACACCAGUGGCGAAGGCG